GACGGAGGGGGCUAGCGUUAUUCGGAAUUACUGGGCGUAAAGCGUGCGCAGGCGGUUAUAUAAGACAGAUGUGAAAUCCCCGGGCUCAACCUGGGAACUGCAUUUGUGACUGUAUAGCUAGAGUACGGCAGAGGGGGAUGGAAUUCCGCGUGUAGCAGUGAAAUGCGUAGAUAUGCGGAGGAACACCGAUGGCGAAGGCAAUCCCCUGGGCCUGUACUGACGCUCAUGCACGAAAGCGUGGGGAGCAAACAGG
RNAcentral lists this ribosomal RNA (253 nucleotides) under uncultured bacterium. Its description in RNAcentral is "partial 16S ribosomal RNA". It matches the Rfam family "Bacterial small subunit ribosomal RNA", at positions 524 to 776 of the family's 1533-position model. The record is from RNAcentral.